CCCGCACAAGCAGCGGAGCAUGUGGUUAAUUCGAAGCAACGCGAAGAACCUUACCUAGACUUGACAUCUCCUGAAUUACCCGUAACUGGGGAAGCUCUUCGGAGCAGGAAGACAGGUGGUGCAUGGUUGUCGUCAGCUCGUGUCGUGAGAUGUUGGGUUAAGUCCCGCAACGAGCGCAACCCUUAUCGUUAGUUGCUACCAUUAAGUUGAGCACUCUAGCGAGACUGCCCGGGUUAACCGGGAGGAAGGUGGGGAUGACGUCAAAUCAUCAUGCCCCUUAUGUCUAGGGCUACACACGUGCUACAAUGGUGAGGACAAAGAGACGCAAGACCGCGAGGUGGAGCAAAUCUCACAAACCUCAUCCCAGUUCGGAUUGCAGGCUGAAACUCGCCUGCAUGAAGCCGGAGUUGCUAGUAAUCGCGAAUCAGCAUGUCCGCGGUCGAAUACGUUCCGGGCCUU
Molecule: ribosomal RNA, 459 nt
Filed under: uncultured Clostridium sp.
Lineage: Bacteria; Bacillati; Bacillota; Clostridia; Eubacteriales; Clostridiaceae
Description: bacterial SSU rRNA
Rfam family: Bacterial small subunit ribosomal RNA
Source: RNAcentral